GACUCUGCACGCCUGCUCACCCUUCGGCGGCCGGAGAAGCUACAACAGCGGGGGCGAGCUCCUUGUUGAGCCCCCUGCCGAGCUGACUUUUUAAUAAAGAGCUGACUAUUAAUAAAGGCAUAGACCCCGUUCAUUUCAAUUUGGGGGCUCGGUCCGGGAUAGCCACGCCCAAAGAGGAACCCUGGACAGCUGGACAGCGCGACCACCUGCUUCGAGGGACCCUCGGGAUUUGCUGGCUACCGGACCCUAGGAUCAGCGUGAGACGGGCCACGCGGAGGAGCAACGCAGACGAGCCACGGGAGCCGGCAUCUCGGACCCCCUAAGUGAGAGGGACCCCCUAGUACCGCGUUUUUGGAUUCCUGCGAAGGGGCCGGCUGGGAACGGGGGAAAGCGAGUGGAACAGAGUGACUGAGGCCUCUCCUUAGAGGUAAAGGACCUCCUCUGGGCAUGUGGAGAUUCUCUAGGGAUAAAGUAAGUCCCUGGCAAUCAGGGCAAGGGAGUUGUCCACAGCAGGGAAGGUGGGAUGUCCCUGGCAGGAAGGGGGCAUGUCCUGGCAUACAGGGGCAUGUCCUGGCAGAUAGGGCAUAGGUCCUGGCAAGAAGAGGGCGUGUCCUGGCAGGCAUGGUUAUGUCCUGGCAGGCAGGGGGCAUGUCCUAGUAGGCAGAGGGCAUGCCCCAACAGGCAAGGGGUAUGUCCUAGCAGGAAGGGAACAUGUUCUGGUAGGCAGGGGACAUGUCCUAGCAGGCAGGGGCAUGUCCUGGGAAGAAGAGGGCAUGUUCUGGCAGACAGGCAGGGGGCAUGUCCUGGCAGGCAGCAGGCAUGUCCUGGGAGACAGGGCAUGUCCUGGCAGCCAGAGGGCGUGCCCUAACAGGCAAGGGAGCAUGUCCUAGCAGGCAGGGGCAUGUCCUGGGAAGAAGGGGACAUAGGUCCUGGCAAGGGAGGGCAUGUCCUGGCAGGCAGGGUUAUGUCCUGGCAGGCAGCAGGCAUGUCCUGGGAGACAGGGAGCAUGUUCUAACAGGCAGGAGGCAGGUCCUGGCAGGUAGGGCAUGUCCUAACAAGAGGGGGGAAUGUCCUGGCAGGCAGGGGGCAGGUCCCGGAAGGCAGGGUACAUGUUCUGGCAGGCAGGGCCAGGUCCUGGCAGGCAGGGGGCAGGUCCUGACAGCAGGAUCAUGUCCUGGCAGGUAGGGCCAGGCCCUGGCAGACAGGGGGCAUGUCCUGGCAGGUAGGGCAAUUGAUAACAGGCAAAGAACAGGUCCUGGCAAGAAGGGGGCGUGUCCUGGCAGACAGGGGGAAUGUCCUGGCAGGCAGGGAGUAGGUCUUGGCAGGCAGGGUACAUGUUCUGGCAGACAGGAGGCAUGUCGGGGAAGACAGAGUAGGUAAGCAAGUAAGGAAGCGAGUAGAAAGGCAAGCAGGCUAAGCCUAGUAGGGGAGUCAGGCGAAGGGACUUGGCCGGAGUUCGAGUGUAAGGCUCGGCAGGACGUUCGACCUUACCUCGGCAGGGAGACCAAGCUUCCUAAGCCUAGUAAGGAGGUUGGGCAAAAGGCCAAGUAAAGAACUGGGGCGAGACCUACCUAGGGUCCAAGCCUAGAAAGUCCAUCAAGAAGUCCAGAAAGAACAGGAAAACAAAAGACAAUAUAUGUGAGUAUGAUUAGUGGUUAUCCUAGGCAAGUGACAGAGAUAAAUGCCAAGAGUGGGAGGUUAACUAGAAGAGAUUAAGUUCAGUCAAGAGAUUUAAAAUACUAAGUUGUGGGAAGGAGCCAGAUAAACUGUAUUUGCAUAUCUGUAUAUUCCAUUUUAGAGGGGAGCACCAUUUAAGGUAGAUUUUUUCUAUCCUUCUGAGGCCUGGAAAUGGGAAUAAGUUAAAGCAAAGGAGUGGAUCCUUCAAAAGAGAAAGCAAAGAGAAUUCUUCCUAACAUGCCCUUAGGGCAAUUUUUAGACCAACGGGAUUCUUGGGAAACCACAAAGGGUCUAGACAAGAGUACUGAAGUAUGGCCAAAGUUAAAAUUACAGGGAGAGUGGCCAUAGUAUAGAACCCAAGAUCAGUAGAUACAUAAUCAGCUAAACCAACACCUAGAAGCCCUAAGAUUAUAUUUAAAGAAAGAAGAAGAAAAAGCCAAAACUAAAGCUAGACUUAUGGUUGCAGUUGCUUGAGAAAGUAUAAGAGCAGGCAGGUCACCAGCACUGCCAUCUAAGUCAAGUUGGAAUAGACCAGGGCUGUUACCAAAGAAAUAGAGAUCAACCAGCACCAUCAUAUGAAACAAAUAAGAACUUUAAUGACUUUAAGAAACCUGAAGCUUCACCUCCUUCAACAGGAGGUGCUAUUACUGUCGUGAGAUGUGUCUUAUGUUUCAGUUUAAUGAAGCAAUGCAAAAAGAACAAAAAGUCUUAGAAGAGAUUUCAAGGGGAGAUGACUAGGGGUGUUGGGAGUUCAAUAAGCAAAGAGAUAUAAUCAACCAUCAACAAGAGCCCUUGGUAAACUUUAAAGUAAGUCCCCACUAAGAAGAUUUUGAGUUCUUAGUUAACACAAGGGUAGAUAAGUCCAGGACAAGUUACCAGUAAGAGUCAACAUUGGGAAGAAAGUCUGUGAGGUUUUAGGAAUGAAAGGGAAGGCCAAAGUAAUCUCUUAAGAAGAGACUUGCAAGUCCUAUGAAGGGUAAAGAUUAUCCCACAAGAUAAAAGGUAGUUUAAAUCAUGAAUUGACCCACUGGGGAAUCCAAAGUUUGUGCAACCACUUUUUUUUACGGGAGAAUUUAUAUAUUGGCGCGUAUGACCUGGCAAAAGCAAUUACAAGAAGGUGUGCGAUUUGCCUGAAAACUGACCAAAAGGUAAUGAGAAAACAAGCACAUGGGAGAAGAAAACUUGCUUUAAGACCUUUCCAGAACAUACAAGUAGAUUUCACUGAAAUGCCCUCUGUGCAGAGGAACAAGCAUUUACCAGUGAUGGUAAAUCAUCUCACUCAGUGGGUGGAGGCUUUCUCAGCCAAAAAGGAAACUGUGCAAGAAGUCACAACAAUAAUCUUAGAAAAAAUCAUACCUUGAUACGGGCUAGUCAAUAACUUUGACUCAGACUGAGGUCAACAUUUUGUUGCUCAAACUUUGCAUCAAGUAACAAAAGCCCUGGAGAUAAAGUAGAGAUUGCACACCCAAUGGCAUCCUCAAAGCUCGGGAAAGGUAGAAAGAAUGAAUAAAACUCUUAAAAAAAGUAAUAACCAAAUUAAUUAAAGAGACAAAAAUGAAUUAGCUCAAGUGUUUACCUCUUGCUCUCUUGCGCAUCAGACCUCAACCUCGGUCCGACAUGGGGGUUUCUCCUUAUAAAAUGAUGUUCAGACUCCCUUUUCUAACUACCCCUUUCAGUACUGCAGAUUAUUUAAAAGGGGAGGUAGUAACUUAAAAAUAUUUAAAAUCAUAAGAAAAUCCCUAGAAGGCCUCAGAAAGAAGGGGUAUCUUCCCCAAACCUCCCCUCUGGAUACCAAUGCCCACAACAUCAGUCCCGGGGACUGGGCGUUAAUAAAAUCCUGGAACACCACCACUCCACUAACCCCCAAAUUUGAAGGACCUUUCCAGGUGUUACUCACCACACACUGCGAUGUGAACCCAAGAAAAAGGCUGGAUCCAUAUCCCCAGAGUAAAAGGACCAGGACCAUCCCCAGACGCCAAACCAGACCCAACAGUGUCACCCACCUCCUCUUGUGCAGAAACGGUAUUGCUAGAAGCUGAUAUACGAGGACGAGACUGGACUGGGCUGUGGGAAGCAGGAGCAAAGCAGUCAGACACUUCCUGGUGCUGCCAGGAGGGAAGGAGAGGGACAGCUGCUGCUGGGCUUUGGCAGCAGGCUCUGCGCAUCCCCCCACCCUGCAGCCACCAGUGUGCCGGGAGGAAAGGAGAGAGGACGGUCUGCUGGGACUUCAGAUACGGAUUGCACACCUCUUCACCUCCAGCUACCAGCGUGCCACGGAGACUCCAGGGACAGACUCUGCACGCCUGCUCACCCUUCGGCGGCCGGAGAAGCUACAACAGCGGGGGCGAGCUCCUUGUUGAGCCCCCUGCCGAGCUGACUUUUUAAUAAAGAGCUGACUAUUAAUAAAGGCAUAGACCCCGUUCAUUUCAAUUGGGAA
Taeniopygia guttata (zebra finch) is the source of this 4114-nucleotide long non-coding RNA. RefSeq lists it as uncharacterized. The record is from RefSeq and is a predicted model, not a curated record. Lineage: Eukaryota; Metazoa; Chordata; Aves; Passeriformes; Estrildidae.